UUACCAUAGCAGGGAGAAUCCUACAAGUU
RNAcentral lists this non-coding RNA (29 nucleotides) under Mus musculus (house mouse). Lineage: Eukaryota; Metazoa; Chordata; Mammalia; Rodentia; Muridae. The record is from RNAcentral.